UACGUAGGUGGCAAGCGUUAUCCGGAUUUAUUGGGCGUAAAGGGAACGCAGGCGGUCUUUUAAGUCUGAUGUGAAAGCCUUCGGCUUAACCGGAGUAGUGCAUUGGAAACUGGAAGACUUGAGUGCAGAAGAGGAGAGUGGAACUCCAUGUGUAGCGGUGAAAUGCGUAGAUAUAUGGAAGAACACCAGUGGCGAAAGCGGCUCUCUGGUCUGUAACUGACGCUGAGGUUCGAAAGCGUGGGUAGCAAACAGG
RNAcentral lists this ribosomal RNA (253 nucleotides) under uncultured bacterium. Its description in RNAcentral is "partial 16S ribosomal RNA". It matches the Rfam family "Bacterial small subunit ribosomal RNA", at positions 524 to 776 of the family's 1533-position model. The record is from RNAcentral.